AGUGGACGCUGGCGGCGUGCCUAAUACAUGCAAGUCGAACGGAAUUUAAGAGGGCUUGCUCUUUUAAAUUUAGUGGCGCACGGGUGAGUAAUAUAUAGCUAAUCUGCCCCUUGCUGGAGGACAACAGUUAGAAAUGACUGCUAAUACUCCAUACUCCUUUUUACCAUAAGAUAAAUCGGGAAAGAAUUUCGGCAAGGGAUGAGACUAUAUCGUAUCAGCUAGUCGGUGGGGUAACGGCCUACCGAGGCUAUGACGCGUAACUGGUCUGAGAGGAUGAUCAGUCACAUUGGAACUGAGACACGGUCCAAACUCCUACGGGAGGCAGCAGUAGGGAAUAUUGCGCAAUGGGGGAAACCCUGACGCAGCAACGCCGCGUGGAGGAUGACACUUUUCGGAGCGUAAACUCCUUUUGUUAGGGAAGAAUAAUGACGGUACCUAACGAAUAAGCACCGGCUAACUCCGUGCCAGCAGCCGCGGUAAUACGGAGGGUGCAAGCGUUACUCGGAAUCACUGGGCGUAAAGGACGCGUAGGCGGAUUAUCAAGUCUCUUGUGAAAUCUAACGGCUUAACCGUUAAACUGCUUGGGAAACUGAUAAUCUAGAGUAAGGGAGAGGCAGAUGGAAUUCUUGGUGUAGGGGUAAAAUCCGUAGAUAUCAAGAAGAAUACCUAUUGCGAAGGCGAUCUGCUGGAACUUAACUGACGCUCAUGCGUGAAAGCGUGGGGAGCAAACAGG
Molecule: ribosomal RNA, 733 nt
Filed under: uncultured Campylobacter sp.
Lineage: Bacteria; Pseudomonadati; Campylobacterota; Epsilonproteobacteria; Campylobacterales; Campylobacteraceae
Description: bacterial SSU rRNA
Rfam family: Bacterial small subunit ribosomal RNA
Source: RNAcentral